RNAcentral lists this long non-coding RNA (1564 nucleotides) under Callithrix jacchus (white-tufted-ear marmoset). RNAcentral describes it as "lncRNA (ENSCJAG00000081899.1)". Lineage: Eukaryota; Metazoa; Chordata; Mammalia; Primates; Cebidae. The record is from RNAcentral.
CCCCUCCCCCGCCCCAUGCAGGCUGUGUGCCAGCAGCAAUUACAGAAUCACAUAUUCACGGAAGCCUGCACGUGCAGCCCACGAUCAGCACUUGGAUGCCUGUUGCCGUUGUCUGCUAAUAAAAGAAUGAACAGAAAUGACCAGAAAAGCCUGGUGGAAAAACUUGGAAACAAGCCACCCACCAGCGCUGGGCAGCUUGCUUUGCUCCUGAGCGCAGGCUGGACUCUUGGUUGCAAUGUCAUUGUGCGUACAAAUAAUGAGUACUGUUCACCACAUUUUCCGCUGGUCAAAGUUGCUCCCGGCUUCCACCCUGCUAAAUAUGAUGUCUGUUGAUGUUUCUGUCUUCCCCACGAGACUGUAGGUUCCCGGAGAUGAGGGACUUAAUUUUAUGCAUCUCUGUGAUCCUCACAGGACAGGACCUGGCACAAAACGGGCGCAGAGUAAAUGCUUGAAUAACAAUAAUGGCUAUCAUUUAUUGAGGAGGCAGCUUAAUGUAGAAGUUAUGAGGAUGAGCUCCAGAAUCACAUCACCUGGUUUUGAAUCACAGCUCGGUUUUCUUAUCUUAUCGGUGCCUCAGCUUCCUCAUCUGUGAAAUGGGCUUAUAGCAUAGCCGUCUCUCAGUACCUGGGGGGUUGGCUCCAGGAUGCCCUGUGGAUACCUAAAUCCACUGUUGAGCACAUCCUUGAUAUAAAAUGGCAUAGUAUUUGUAUAUACGCUACGCACAUCCUCCCAUAUACUUUAUUUAUUUAUUUUACAACUUUUUUUUUUGAGGCAGAGUCUCACUCAGUUGCUCAGGCUGGAGUGCAGUGGCAUGACUCAGCUCACUGCAACAGGCUUUUUUUUUUUUUUUAAACAGAGACAGGGGCCAGGUGCAGUGCCUCAUGCCUGUAAUCCCACCACUUUGGGAGGCAGAGGCGGGCAGAUCACCUGAGGUCAGGAGUUCAAAACCAGACUGACCAAGAUGGCAAAACCUCGUCUCUACUAAAAAUACAAAAAUUAGCUGGGUGUGGUGAUAUGUGCCUGUAAUGUAAUCCCAGCUACUCAGGAGGCUGAGGCAGGAGAAUCACUUGAACAUGGGAGUUGGAGGUUGCAGUGUAUGCCACUGCACUCCAGCCUGGGCAACAGAGUGAGACUCUAUCUCAAAAAAUAAAUAAAUAAAUAGAGACAGAGUUUUGCCACUUUGCUCAGGCUGGUCUUGAACUCCUGGGCUCAAGUGAUCCUCCCCACCUUGGCCUCCUAAAGUGAGGGGAUUACAGCCGUGAUCAACCCACCCAGCACCUCCCAUACAUUUUAAAUCAUCUCUAGAUUACUUAUAACACCUAAUACAGUGUAAAUGCCAUGUAAAUAAUUAUUAUACUGUACUGAAUUUUUAUUUAUAUUUUUUCAGUGUUGUAUUGUUAUUCUUUAUUAUUUAUUUUUUCUGAAUAUUGUUGAUCUGUGGAUGUGGAACCCACAGAUACUGCGGGACAACUAUACCGCCUUCACGGGAUCAGGAAGGGGAUUGAAAGACUGUGGCUGCCAACUCUACCUUGGCCUCUGAUUAUCCCACCCCUGCUAUUCAUUC